This 993-nucleotide ribosomal RNA is filed under the name Bacillus sp. KALAICIBA9. RNAcentral describes it as "bacterial SSU rRNA". The stretch from base 5 to 517 matches the Rfam family "Bacterial small subunit ribosomal RNA", at positions 39 to 536 of the family's 1533-position model. Lineage: Bacteria; Bacillati; Bacillota; Bacilli; Caryophanales; Bacillaceae. The record is from RNAcentral.
UAGCGGGGCUCGGCACAGUGGGAGUUAGAACAUAGGGAGUAGGUAGUUGCUCCGGACUUCUGGCCGCGGGCGGGUGAAUAACACGUGGGCAACCUACCCUAUAGUUUGGGAUAACUCCGGGAAACCGGGGCUAAUACCGAAUAAUCUCUUUUGCUUCAUGGUGAAAGACUGAAAGACGGUUUCGGCUGUCGCUAUAGGAUGGGCCCGCGGCGCAUUAGCUAGUUGGUGAGGUAACGGCUCACCAAGGCGACGAUGCGUAGCCGACCUGGGAGGGUGAUCGGUCACACUGGGACUGAGACACGGCCCAGAUUCCUACGGGAGGCAGCAGUAGGGAUCUUUCCACAAUGGGCAAAAGCUUGAUGGAGUAACGCCCCGCUGGUGGAAGAAGUUUUCGGUUCGUGAAACUUCUUUUGAAGGAAAAAAAGAGUACCGGAGUAACUGGUUGUACUUUGACGGUACCUUAUUAAAAAGCCCCGGCUAGUUACUUGCCGGCAGCGGCGGGAAAUAGUGGGUGGCAGCCGUUGUCCGAAAUUAUUUUGCCAAAGGGGGGCGCAGGUGGGUUUUUAGUUGAGAAGCCCACGUUCACCGGGGGGUCUUGAAUGGGGGUUUGAUGCAAAGAGAAGUGAAUCCAUUUAGCGUAAAUCGUAAUUUGAAGAACCCGGGCAAGCGUUUUGGCGUACUAAGUGAGCGCAAAUGGCGGGGCACACAUAGAACCUGUAGCCUACUCGAACAUAGUUAAUGUAGGGGUUCGCUUUAGGGUGCGUACCUAGCUUCGUCGACGCCGUAAAGCUAAAUUAAAAAUACGGGCGCGAGUUCCGCCCUUAAGUUUCAGAGCUAAACUAUGGCGCCUCCGUGCCGGAGAGUACUGCUGCGGCACUUAAACUCAUGUGCUUUUCCGGGAGUUGUAACAAGCGCGGACGGCUCUGACUAAUGCCAUAGCGCCUUAGGAUCGGUUACGAAGGCUUGAAAUCUCCUAACUGCAAGGUAAGCAAU